This 100-nucleotide small nucleolar RNA is filed under the name Gossypium arboreum. RNAcentral's name for it is "Plant small nucleolar RNA R71". It matches the Rfam family "Plant small nucleolar RNA R71". From Rfam's summary of the family: R71 is a member of the C/D box family of snoRNAs containing the C (UGAUGA) and D (CUGA) box motifs. Multiple nearly identical copies of this snoRNA have been identified in Arabidopsis, and it is thought to function as a 2'-O-ribose methylation guide for 18S ribosomal RNA. RNAcentral also lists the same sequence under 1 other name. The record is from Rfam by way of RNAcentral. Lineage: Eukaryota; Viridiplantae; Streptophyta; Magnoliopsida; Malvales; Malvaceae.
AUUUGAGAAAGUACUUCAACAGAUCCUUAAAUCUUUCCCAUGCAUCAUAUAAAGUCUCCAACUCAAUUUGAGAAAAAGAAGAGAUGUCGUUUCUCAACUU